GGCACGGUGCGCCAAUCCGGCAGAGCGACCAGCUUCAAAACCUGGUGGGUGUGGGUUCGAUUCCCUCUCGUGCUAC
This 76-nucleotide transfer RNA is filed under the name Lignipirellula cremea. RNAcentral describes it as "Planctomycetes bacterium Pla85_3_4 tRNA-Leu". It matches the Rfam family "tRNA". From Rfam's summary of the family: Transfer RNA (tRNA) molecules are approximately 80 nucleotides in length. Their secondary structure includes four short double-helical elements and three loops (D, anti-codon, and T loops). Further hydrogen bonds mediate the characteristic L-shaped molecular structure. tRNAs have two regions of fundamental functional importance: the anti-codon, which is responsible for specific mRNA codon recognition, and the 3' end, to which the tRNAs corresponding amino acid is attached (by aminoacyl-tRNA synthetases). tRNAs cope with the degeneracy of the genetic code in two manners: having more than one tRNA (with a specific anti-codon) for a particular amino acid; and 'wobble' base-pairing, i.e. permitting non-standard base-pairing at the 3rd anti-codon position. The record is from RNAcentral. Lineage: Bacteria; Pseudomonadati; Planctomycetota; Planctomycetia; Pirellulales; Pirellulaceae.